Ovis aries (sheep) is the source of this 72-nucleotide non-coding RNA. The record is from Rfam. NCBI's taxonomy places the organism in Eukaryota, Metazoa, Chordata, Mammalia, Artiodactyla, Bovidae.
UCCCUGGUGGUCCAGUGGCUAAGGCUGUGCAUUCCCAGUGCAGGUGGCCAGGUUCGAUCCCUGGUCUGGGAU